RNAcentral lists this ribosomal RNA (500 nucleotides) under uncultured Glomeromycotina. Its description in RNAcentral is "partial small subunit ribosomal RNA". It matches the Rfam family "Eukaryotic small subunit ribosomal RNA", at positions 591 to 1092 of the family's 1831-position model. Lineage: Eukaryota; Fungi; Glomeromycota. The record is from RNAcentral.
CCAAUAGCGUAUAUUAAAGUUGUUGCAGUUAAAAAGCUCGUAGUUGAAUUUCGGGAUUAGUAAGUUGGUCGUGCCUCUGGUAUGUACUGGCUUUACUGAUUCCUCCUUCUUGAAAAACUGUCAUGUCAUUAAUUUGGUGUUGCAGGGAAACAGGACUGUUACUUUGAAAAAAUUAGAGUGUUUAAAGCAGGCUAACGCUUGAAUACAUUAGCAUGGAAUAAUGAAAUAGGACGUUUGAUCCUAUUUUGUUGGUUUCUAGGAUUGACGUAAUGAUUAAUAGGGAUAGUUGGGGGCAUUAGUAUUCAAUUGUCAGAGGUGAAAUUCUUGGAUUUAUUGAAGACUAACUACUGCAAAAGCAUUUGCCAAGGAUGUUUUCAUUAAUCAAGAACGAAAGUUAGGGGAUCGAAGACGAUCAGAUACCGUCGUAGUCUUAACCAUAAACUAUGCCGACUAGGGAUCGGAUGAUGUUAAUUUUUUAAUGACUCAUUCGGCGCCUUACG